Molecule: ribosomal RNA, 497 nt
Filed under: uncultured bacterium
Lineage: Bacteria
Description: partial 16S ribosomal RNA
Rfam family: Bacterial small subunit ribosomal RNA
Source: RNAcentral
GAUGAACGCUGGCGGCGUGCCUAAUACAUGCAAGUCGAGCGAACAGAUGAGGAGCUUGCUCCUCUGACGUUAGCGGCGGACGGGUGAGUAACACGUGGAUAACCUACCUAUAAGACUGGGAUAACUUCGGGAAACCGGAGCUAAUACCGGAUAAUAUAUUGAACCGCAUGGUUCAAUAGUGAAAGACGGUUUUGCUGUCACUUAUAGAUGGAUCCGCGCCGCAUUAGCUAGUUGGUAAGGUAACGGCUUACCAAGGCAACGAUGCGUAGCCGACCUGAGAGAGGGGCCGCCCAAACUGGAACGGAGACCGGCCCAGGCCCCCGCCGGGGGGAGACGGAGGGAAAUCUGCCAAAGGGGGCGAAAGCCGGAGGGAACAGCCCGGCGUGAGGAAGGAGGGUUUUCGGAUCGAAAAACUUUUUUAUGGGGAAAAAAAAAAUGUGAAAGAAACACGGCCCGUCUGGACGGUACCAAAUAAAAAAGCCACGCCAAACUACGUC